AUUCGCCUCGAGGGAGGAGGGCCUGUAGCAGGGUGGGAGGGGCCUGGCUCUGAGGGUCCUGCCCGUCUCCCCAUCCCCACAGGACUGGGAGGUGCAGUACCAACAGGACACCCCGGUGGCCCCCCGCUUUGACGUCAAUGCCCCGGACCUCUACAUUCCAGCAAUGGCUUUCAUCACCUAUGUUUUGGUGGCUGGUCUUGCGCUGGGGACCCAGGAUAGGUUCUCCCCAGACCUCCUGGGGCUGCAAGCGAGCUCAGCCCUGGCCUGGCUGACCCUGGAGGUGCUGGCCAUCCUGCUCAGCCUCUAUCUGGUCACUGUCAACACCGACCUCACCACCAUCGACCUGGUGGCCUUCUUGGGCUACAAAUAUGUCGGGUGAGUACCCCCGCCCUUCGUGUCAGCCCCAGCCCUUGGGCCUUGUCCUCACACAGCCUCCUCUCCCUCCCCCAGGAUGAUUGGCGGGGUCCUCAUGGGCCUGCUCUUCGGGAAGAUUGGCUACUACCUGGUGCUGGGCUGGUGCUGCGUGGCCAUCUUUGUGUUCAUGAUCCGGACCCUGCGGCUGAAGAUCUUGGCAGAGGCAGCAGCUGAGGGGGUCCCGGUGCGUGGGGCCCGGAACCAGCUGCGCAUGUACCUGACCAUGGCAGUGGCGGCGGCACAGCCUCUGCUCAUGUACUGGCUCACCUUCCACCUGGUGCGGUGAGCGCGCCCGCUGAACCUCCCGCUGCUGCUGCUGCUGCUGGGGGCCACUGUGGCCGUCGGACUCAUCUCCUGCCUGCAGGCCCCAGGGUCCACCCUGUCUGGCCACAGGCACCGCCUCCAUCCCAUGUCCCGCCCAGCCCCGCCCCCAACCCAAGGUGCUGAGAGAUCUCCAGCUGCACAGGCCACCGCCCCAGGGCGUGGCCGCUGUUACAGAAACAAUAAACCCUGAUGGGCAUG
This 936-nucleotide small RNA is filed under the name Pongo abelii (Sumatran orangutan). RNAcentral describes it as "retained intron". The record is from RNAcentral. Lineage: Eukaryota; Metazoa; Chordata; Mammalia; Primates; Hominidae.